Molecule: non-coding RNA, 120 nt
Organism: Anolis carolinensis (green anole)
Lineage: Eukaryota; Metazoa; Chordata; Lepidosauria; Squamata; Anolidae
Source: Rfam
UUUAUCAGUCUUAAAUAUCCUGAAGGCACCAGAUGCCAUCUAAUCUUGUAAGGUAAGCAGGGUCAGCUCUGGUUAGAACUUAGAUGGGAGACCGUCAAUGAAUACUGGGUGCUGUAGGCU